This 391-nucleotide unclassified non-coding RNA is filed under the name soil metagenome. RNAcentral describes it as "partial contains 5.8S ribosomal RNA, internal transcribed spacer 2, and large subunit ribosomal RNA". The stretch from base 1 to 122 matches the Rfam family "5.8S ribosomal RNA", at positions 35 to 154 of the family's 154-position model. The record is from RNAcentral.
GAUGAAGAACGUAGCGAAAUGCGAUACUUGGUGUGAAUUGCAGAAUCCCGUGAACCAUCGAGUCUUUGAACGCAAGUUGCGCCCGAAGCCAUUAGGCCGAGGGCACGCCUGCCUGGGCGUCACACGUCGUUGCCCCCCCAUCUACUCCUUCGGGAUUGCGGGGGGCGGAUGAUGGCCUCCCGUGCGCCUCGUCGCGCGGUUGGCAUAAAUGCCAAGUCCUCGGCGACGCACGCCACGACAAUCGGUGGUUGCGAAACCUCGGUUGCCCGUCGUGUGCGGUCGUCGCGCAUCGAGGGCUCGAAAAAAUUGCCGGGCUCCGGCUCGGCUUUCAACGCGACCCCAGGUCAGGCGGGGUUACCCGCUGAAUUUAAGCAUAUCAAUAAGCGAAGGA